RNAcentral lists this small RNA (140 nucleotides) under Escherichia coli O145:NM str. 06-3484. RNAcentral's name for it is "partial QUAD RNA". It matches the Rfam family "Short Intergenic Abundant RNA". Rfam says of the family: This family contains multiple ncRNA from E. coli that were identified in a large scale screen of E. coli, were they were called candidates 43,55 and 61. These RNAs have also been identified by other groups and called QUAD RNAs. RNAcentral also lists the same sequence under 1 other name. Lineage: Bacteria; Pseudomonadati; Pseudomonadota; Gammaproteobacteria; Enterobacterales; Enterobacteriaceae. The record is from RNAcentral.
UUGACAUUCUGAACGUGAAGGCAUACUUUCAGGAGUGAGGGUAGAGCGGGGUUUCCCCCGCCCUGGUAGUCUUAGUAUGCUGGGUAGCUAAUCACUAAGAGCACCACGAUGAUGAGUAUCUUCAUCAUGACCCUUUCCUU